AACUCUUCAACAACUGGAUCUCUGGUUGGUUGCUGGCAUCGAGUGAAGAACGCAGCGAAAUGCAGAUAAGUAAUAGUGAACUUGAAGAAUUCAGUGAAUCAUAUGAAUCUACUUGAACGCACAUUGCGCCCUGUGGUAUUCCGGCACGGCAUGACCUGUUCGAGCGUCAUUU
Molecule: ribosomal RNA, 172 nt
Filed under: fungal sp. 3.23.3C
Lineage: Eukaryota; Fungi
Description: 5.8S ribosomal RNA
Rfam family: 5.8S ribosomal RNA
About the family: 5.8S ribosomal RNA (5.8S rRNA) is a component of the large subunit of the eukaryotic ribosome. It is transcribed by RNA polymerase I as part of the 45S precursor that also contains 18S and 28S rRNA.
Source: RNAcentral